This 433-nucleotide ribosomal RNA is filed under the name uncultured bacterium. Its description in RNAcentral is "partial 16S ribosomal RNA". It matches the Rfam family "Bacterial small subunit ribosomal RNA", at positions 29 to 507 of the family's 1533-position model. The record is from RNAcentral.
AACGAACGCUGGCGGCAUGCCUAACACAUGCAAGUCGAACGAGACCUUCGGGUCUAGCGGCGCACGGGUGCGUAACGCGUGGGAACCUGCCCUUAGGUUCGGAAUAACUCCCCGAAAGGGGUGCUAAUACCGGAUAAUGUCUUCGGACCAAAGAUUUAUCGCCUUUGGAUGGGCCCGCGUUGGAUUAGCUAGUUGGUAGGGUAAAAGCCUACCAAGGCGACGAUCCAUAGCUGGUCUGAGAGGAUGAUCAGCCACACUGGGACUGGGACACGGCCCAGACUCCUACGGGAGGCAGCAGUGGGGAAUAUUGGACAAUGGGCGAAAGCCUGAUCCAGCAAUGCCGCGUGAGUGAUGAAGGCCUUAGGGUUGUAAAGCUCUUUUACCCGGGAUGAUAAUGACAGUACCGGGAGAAUAAGCUCCGGCUAACUCCGUG